AAGCAACGACUCUUUUUUAAUUUGAAUGCAGACGUGUGAGUGAGUGAGUGCCAUGCAAUUUUUUCUUGUAUAACAAGUCAAUAUAUAGUAAAAACAUUCAUAAUAAUGUACUGCAGGAAAGGCUUGAGCAUACUUUAUGAUCGUAAGCAUGAAAUAGAACAUGCAAGAAGUAUUUUUAACAUAAUCUGUGAAGUGAUUAUAAACAGUUUCCUACAUUUGCAAAGUGAUUAUUUCUGAGUUCUGUGUGUCGUUUUUGCCUUGAGAAACCAAAUAAUGUUUGUUCUUUGAGGGUAAUGACUGAAACAGAAAUAACACUCGACACCAAGUUACCUAUAGACAGGGACAUGAUCUAAAACAAAAUUAGAAGAAAAAACAUAUUCAUCAUAUGUUUAGUUCCUUCAAGAAUAACAUUUGGGGCAGUGUCUUAUCUAUUUGCUCAUUUGGUAUUAUUACCUAGUCUUAAAUAAAUAUAAAUCUUGGUGUGGUUAAUUGUAUGUUUGAUAUAUACAUUACAUAUUCUAUUUAUUUAAUUAUCUUUAUCACUUAUUUUCUACAUUAGAAAACCUAAGAAAUAUUAAAUUGGAGAGCUUAAAGAUGAAUAACAGAUAUAUAUAUAUAUGAAGAAAAUAAUUGAUGUAACUGAGAAAAAGUGAAUUAAUUUGCUAAAGAGCGGGAAAAAUAAAUAAUGAGAAUAAAAUUAAAGCUUAUAGUAAAAAUCUCUUAAGUUGAUUUUUAAAAAUAACAAUAAUUAAAUAAUAUGAAACGGAGAGAGUUUUUUUUUUGUAUAAAAAUAUCAAUUUCUUAAAAAAAAUAAAAAUAAGAUGCACAUAGUGAAUUUGAGAAUUACUUCUGUUAAAAAAGGGGUUUGGGCUUUUGACAAUCAAAUACUACUUAAAAGUUGAACAGAUCAUCAAAUACAAAACAAUUAUCUUCUUUUCCACCUCUCCCAGCCGUAUAUUACACUUUUGAAGAAGCACCCAACACUCUCAGCAGCCACUGCAAUGGCUCUCACCACCACUCGAGUCUCUGCAACACUAUCACCAAAUCACCAUACACAUCCCAUUUUUGGGAAGGGCCAAAAAUGAUUUUUGGGAAGGGCCAGAAUGGGAUGCUUUUGGCUUCUUCAUUCAGUAUUUGUGGGCUUUUGGUAUCCUUUUCCGGUAUUUCUCUCUCUUAGAUUUCUUGUUUAAUUAAUGAUUUAUCAUGAAUUUGUUUAAUGAGCUUUUGGUUUGAUGUUCCAAAAUGGGUUUUUAGUAAGUGUUUCACAAUCACUUACUAAAAACAAGAUUUGUAACUGAAAUAGGCUGAUUAAUGUAAUAAGAAUGCAUUGAAAAGAGUUUUUUUUUAAGAAAAAAACAAAUUCAGUCUCUCUAGAAUGUGGAGUGCUCGAACUAUUUCCAGUAAGAGAACUGCUAAAAGAGAGAAUAAAAGUUUGGCAACUAUUGACUAGUAGGUACCAUGACUUCUUUCAUGAGCAAGGACACAUUCAAUUUUAUGUAAUCAUGUUAGAUGUUAAUCCUCUUCAAAUAGUAAAAGGUCUGAAAUCAGAGUAUUUAGUAAAUUAAGUACUAUAUUAUUUGUCAAAAAAUUGCUUUUUGAUAAUGCCUUGUUUCUUUGAUAAAGCAUUAAAUUAUUGCCUAAACCAAUAAAACUUCAAUACCUUUAAUAAAUAAAAUUUAAUAAGCAAUUCGUUAAUAAUAAAUUUAUUCAAGGUGUAAUUGAUUUCAAUAGAAAUAAAAUACAUAGACAUGUCAUAAGCAACAAUAGAAGACUAUAUUAUGAUUUCUUAGAAAACUUUAAUUAGUUUGAAACUUAGAACUCAGAACUUAAAACUCAAACAUAUAAUGUUUAUUAUCAGCAUAGACAAAGCUACCACCACGCACAAGUGAAUCUGUGUCUUAAAAUUCAUAUAUGCAUUUUUGUGAAAGCCAAGUCCCAUAAUACUUGAUCUGGGCGUCACCAUAACCAUUGGGGAAGCUGAAAUCACAAGCAAAAGAGCAUGUCAAGAAAUUUGAUUUAGAAAACAGAAAUUAAUCUUCCUAACUAGACUUUUAAAAAAUAUUAAAUUACAAUUUAAUAUUCCAGAAAAUAAGGUUCUGUUUGGACAUCCCUAUAUAUGUAUACACACACAUUAUAAGCACGUUCAAGGGUAACAAAAGAUGGUUAAAUGACGCAUUUUAUGAGGUCUGAGCAAGUCAGCUUACCGGCAACAAUAGAAUUGGUUUUGGUACCAAAGGAAAUCUGAGAAGCAGGUGAGGUAGGAGGCAAAGGAGCCCCUUCACAAAACACAAUAUCAAUAAUAUAUUAUUGCAUUUAGCAUAUUUGUUUAGCAUCUAAAAAAUGUACAAAAUAGAUUUCAGAGGAAAAUGUGAAACUAUGAUACUGUACACUAUAUAUAUAUAUAUAUAUAUAUAUAUAUAUAUAUAUAUAUAUAUAUAUAUAUAUAUAUGUUGAGGAAGUGUGAACCUGAACAAAUCGAGAUGUCAACUUGGAGAUGGCAUAGAAGUGGGAGCUGUAGAGCAAGUGUGAUUGAUAGGGAAAGAACUUAAAGUAGACUCAUUCAGCAAGAGGCAAAGACAACCAGCUUGCUGGGUGUAGAUAUGUUAUAGGUUAUCGCAACACGUUUGUGCGGGAGAGGGCACUCUACCCUGAACAAAUGGUGCGCACGAGGCUAAAGAUAGUAAGCUUGUCCCGCAUUGGGUGAUGGUGGGACCUGAUCUAGGGUUCUGUGAAAAGGUGGGUGGUUCAAGGUAAGAGAGAAUUACAAGAAAAGUAUAUUUAGUUGUGGGAAGGAAAGAGUGAUGCGGAAAAGCCAUUCUAUAUGUUCAUCAAGGUAGCUAGAGUAUAUGUUCUGUUUCUGUGGAGAACUUACUUUCUAAAUAGAUGAAGAUGCAUUGAUUUGGUGUGGAAAUUUAGCAUGCUUUAUGUGUGUCAGUUAAAACACAAUUUCUAUUAUCUCUCUGGUAAACAACCAUUUGGAGCUGCAAUAGCAAUUUUAUUUGAAAAUGCAGCAUGCGUGAUAUGAUGAUAUCUCUUAGAGCUAUGUUUUCAACUUGAGAAAAGAAGGAAAAGGAAAAGAGGGGAAACAGAAAACAAAGUUAAAGAAAAAGUCUAUACCUCUGAAAGAAAUUAAUAUUAACAAGUAUUAUGAUGAGAUAGCAUAAUGGAAUUAUUUAAAUCUCCAUUUUUUGGGGGAUAAUCCUUUCUUUAAUUCUCAAACUGUAGUUGUUUUUCAUGUUUUGUCUCCUAACUAUUAUUAUAUUUUUUACUUUUUAUUUACUUAUUUUUUUUGCGUAUUUUGUCUUCCACCCGUCGUUAGUCACUAAACUAUAGCUAGUUUUCACGUUUAGUUCCCUAAUUAUAGUUGUUUUCAUGUUUAAUCCUCAAAGUACACUUAUUUUUCAAGUUUAAUUCAUUUUAAUUGCUAUAAUUUUUGUGUUGUUGGAUUGAGAUUGCAAAAAUAAUAAUGUUCGAUAACAAAAUACUAAUAAAAAGUAAAUAGGGAACUAAACGUUAAAAACAAUUAUAUUUGAUGACUAAUUAAGAUAUUAUCCUCCCCUAUAUAUAAAAUGUAUGUGUAUGUGUGAGUGGAAAAUUUGAAGUUUGGAUACAUAGAACAUCCUAUCAAGUCAGGGCGUAGAAGUCAUAAGUUGGCCAACUGUAACCAUGUGCAGUGAAUCUUGAAGCGGAGGCUUUUUCUUUGUUAGCUGCGUAGAAACUUGUUUCAUGUUAGGCCUACAUUCUGGACUUUGAUGUAAACAAGCAAAUGCGAGCCUCGCAACAAAAACCAUUUCCUCUGCCACUUCAUUGGUAGGGGGUG
Molecule: long non-coding RNA, 3820 nt
Filed under: Panax ginseng (ginseng)
Lineage: Eukaryota; Viridiplantae; Streptophyta; Magnoliopsida; Apiales; Araliaceae
Description: long non-coding RNA (PGIN_LNC013240)
Source: RNAcentral